RNAcentral lists this ribosomal RNA (371 nucleotides) under uncultured organism. RNAcentral's name for it is "partial 16S ribosomal RNA". It matches the Rfam family "Bacterial small subunit ribosomal RNA", at positions 527 to 896 of the family's 1533-position model. The record is from RNAcentral.
GGAGGGUGCGAGCGUUAAUCGGAAUUACUGGGCGUAAAGCGCGCGUAGGCGGCUUGGUCAGUCGGAUGUGAAAGCCCCGGGCUUAACCUGGGAAUUGCAUCCGAUACUGCCAGACUAGAGUAUGGGAGAGGGAAGCGGAAUUUCCGGUGUAGCGGUGAAAUGCGUAGAUAUCGGAAGGAACACCAGUGGCGAAGGCGGCUUCCUGGCCCAAUACUGACGCUGAGGUGCGAAAGCGUGGGGAGCAAACAGGGAUUAGAUACCCUGGUAGUCCACGCCGUAAACGAUGAGAACUAGAUGUCGGGAGGAUUUGCCUCUCGGUGUCGCAGCUAACGCGUUAAGUUCUCCGCCUGGGGAGUACGCCGGCAACGGUA